This 549-nucleotide ribosomal RNA is filed under the name Cortinarius leucopus. RNAcentral's name for it is "eukaryotic LSU rRNA". It matches the Rfam family "Eukaryotic large subunit ribosomal RNA", at positions 1 to 545 of the family's 3401-position model. The record is from RNAcentral. Lineage: Eukaryota; Fungi; Basidiomycota; Agaricomycetes; Agaricales; Cortinariaceae.
UGUGACCUCAAAUCAGGUAGGACUACCCGCUGAACUUAAGCAUAUCAAUAAGCGGAGGAAAAGAAACUAACAAGGAUUCCCCUAGUAACUGCGAGUGAAGCGGGAAAAGCUCAAAUUUAAAAUCUGGCGGUCUUUUGGCUGUCCGAGUUGUAAUCUAGAGAAGUGUUAUCCGCGCUGGACCGUGUACAAGUCUCCUGGAAUGGAGCAUCAUAGAGGGUGAGAAUCCCGUCUUUGACAUGGACUGCCAGGGCUUUGUGAUGCGCUCUCAAAGAGUCGAGUUGUUUGGGAAUGCAGCUCAAAAUGGGUGGUAAAUUCCAUCUAAAGCUAAAUAUUGGCGAGAGACCGAUAGCGAACAAGUACCGUGAGGGAAAGAUGAAAAGAACUUUGGAAAGAGAGUUAAACAGUACGUGAAAUUGCUGAAAGGGAAACGCUUGAAGUCAGUCAYGUCGUCCAGGGAUCAACCUUGCUUUUGCUUGGUGCACUUUCUGGUUUGACGGGUCAGCAUCAAUUUUGACUAUUGGAAAAAGGCUCUAGGGAAUGUGGCAUCUU